This 722-nucleotide ribosomal RNA is filed under the name Vibrio sp. J608. RNAcentral's name for it is "bacterial SSU rRNA". It matches the Rfam family "Bacterial small subunit ribosomal RNA", at positions 47 to 745 of the family's 1533-position model. The record is from RNAcentral. Lineage: Bacteria; Pseudomonadati; Pseudomonadota; Gammaproteobacteria; Vibrionales; Vibrionaceae.
CACUAACACAUGCAAGUCGAGCGGAAACGAGUUAUCUGAACCUUCGGGGAACGAUAACGGCGUCGAGCGGCGGACGGGUGAGUAAUGCCUAGGAAAUUGCCCUGAUGUGGGGGAUAACCAUUGGAAACGAUGGCUAAUACCGCAUGAUGCCUACGGGCCAAAGAGGGGGACCUUCGGGCCUCUCGCGUCAGGAUAUGCCUAGGUGGGAUUAGCUAGUUGGUGAGGUAAGGGCUCACCAAGGCGACGAUCCCUAGCUGGUCUGAGAGGAUGAUCAGCGCACACUGGAACUGAGACACGGUCCAGACUCCUACGGGAGGCAGCAGUGGGGAAUAUUGCACAAUGGGCGCAAGCCUGAUGCAGCCAUGCCGCGUGUAUGAAGAAGGCCUUCGGGUUGUAAAGUACUUUCAGUCGUGAGGAAGGCGGGGUCUGUUAAUAGCGCCGUUGUUUGACGUUAGCCGCAGAAGAAGCCCCGGCUAACUCCGUGCCAGCAGCCGCGGUAAUACGGAGGGCGCGAGCGUUAAUCGGAAUUACUGGGCGUAAAGCGCAUGCAGGUGGUUUGUUAAGUCAGAUGUGAAAGCCCGGGGCUCAACCUCGGAAUAGCAUUUGAAACUGGCAGACUAGAGUACUGUAGAGGGGGGUAGAAUUUCAGGUGUAGCGGUGAAAUGCGUAGAGAUCUGAAGGAAUACCGGUGGCGAAGGCGGCCCCCUGGACAGAUACUGACA